Molecule: long non-coding RNA, 429 nt
Filed under: Malus domestica (apple)
Lineage: Eukaryota; Viridiplantae; Streptophyta; Magnoliopsida; Rosales; Rosaceae
Description: long non-coding RNA (MDOM_LNC004617)
Source: RNAcentral
ACUCGAAGACUCAAGAAGCUCAACGGGCACCACCUUACAAGCCGAGGACUAUCCAGUUGUUAUGCAGUUCCUACCUUACAGCUAAGUUCUCGUUCAUUUCACUCGUUUUUUUAGUGAGGAAUUCUGAAGUAAUCACAACUUGGCUCGACUGCAUGCUUACAACAACUGAUCACUCUGCACUUCAAAAGAAGAUUGUGCCCUACUUAGGGACUCAUCGCAGGAAUUGCACCCCCCGAAGGACCAACCAUGCUCUCUAAUGCGAGAGGGUAAACUAAUUGCUCUCUAGUGCGAGAGGGUAAACCAAUUCCUCGACACCCAUAUGGGUCAGCUCUCCAAGACGGAAGGAUAAACUUUACAUUUCGAAUAUCCAGACGUGGAUGAGCUUGGCUGCCCUAGUAUAACUAGAUGCACGAUGGCUUGCGACGGGAU